This is a long non-coding RNA of Triplophysa rosa, 812 nucleotides long. RefSeq lists it as uncharacterized. The record is from RefSeq and is a predicted model, not a curated record. The transcript is spliced from 3 exons. Lineage: Eukaryota; Metazoa; Chordata; Actinopteri; Cypriniformes; Nemacheilidae.
GCAAAAGAAGGAAGUCAAAGGAAACUCUAUGCCAAUCUCAUUGGACCAGCAGAGGAAACCACAGAAGGUCUUGUUAGGAGUGCUGCACUCAUUUUAUUGCCAGCAUUAUUUAAAGAAAACGCCAGCUUCCUCUACAGUGUAAAUAUUGAACCCAAAGGUCCUACACCAACCAUAGUGUUUAACGGCUCUCCUGAUACCCUCAAAGCUGAAAGUGUCAGCAUUAUAAUGGACAACGUGAACAUCAUAAGAGAGGCAGACAUUGACAUGACACAGGCUGUGGAAUGCCUGUUUGCGGUCUAUUUUCUUUUCAAUGUUCAGUUGCCAUUAAGAACACAAUGACUUUUAUUCAAAAAUAUUUGCUUAAACUUAAGUCUCCUCACGACACAAGAACACCAAUACCUGUACUAAAAAUGUACAAUCAACUUGUGUAAAUUGUAGUGCUAUUUAAUAUGUUUUAAUUGUUCAUGAAUUGUUUUUAUCUGCAUUGUGAUUCUUUUCCUCAUUUCAGAGAUGCAUAAAGUUAAGUACUGUACUUAAACAAGCUUAUGUAUGUUUAUAAAAAAAGUGAAUAAUUUAAACAAAAUGGUUGAAUGCAAUGUAAUUAAAGUGUAAAGUUUAGCUGUUUAAUACAGGGAUGCAAUUUUAAAAUAUGUGUUUGUUUAUGUACAUGCAGUGCAAAAACAAGCUUAUGCGUAUGUUUAUUAAAAUGUGAAAAUGCUUAAUGGAAAUUAUUAAAACUAAAUGGUUGAAUGUAAUGAAACAUUUUAAAUGUAAAAUAACUUAAAGUUUUUCUGUCUAAUACAGAGUACAGA